This 409-nucleotide ribosomal RNA is filed under the name Priestia flexa. RNAcentral's name for it is "bacterial SSU rRNA". It matches the Rfam family "Bacterial small subunit ribosomal RNA", at positions 182 to 577 of the family's 1533-position model. The record is from RNAcentral. Lineage: Bacteria; Bacillati; Bacillota; Bacilli; Caryophanales; Bacillaceae.
UCUCUUGCAUAAGAGAAAAUUGAAAGAUGGUUUCGGCUAUCACUUACAGAUGGGCCCGCGGUGCAUUAGCUAGUUGGUGAGGUAACGGCUCACCAAGGCAACGAUGCAUAGCCGACCUGAGAGGGUGAUCGGCCACACUGGGACUGAGACACGGCCCAGACUCCUACGGGAGGCAGCAGUAGGGAAUCUUCCGCAAUGGACGAAAGUCUGACGGAGCAACGCCGCGUGAGUGAUGAAGGCUUUCGGGUCGUAAAACUCUGUUGUUAGGGAAGAACAAGUACAAGAGUAACUGCUUGUACCUUGACGGUACCUAACCAGAAAGCCACGGCUAACUACGUGCCAGCAGCCGCGGUAAUACGUAGGUGGCAAGCGUUAUCCGGAAUUAUUGGGCGUAAAGCGCGCGCAGGCG